This is a long non-coding RNA of Oncorhynchus keta (chum salmon), 264 nucleotides long. RefSeq lists it as uncharacterized. Lineage: Eukaryota; Metazoa; Chordata; Actinopteri; Salmoniformes; Salmonidae. The record is from RefSeq and is a predicted model, not a curated record. The transcript is spliced from 3 exons.
CCAUACUCCCAUACACUGACCCAUCCAGGUUCACUCCUCUCCCUGAUCCCAUACACUGAUCCAUCCAGGUUCACUCCUCUCCCUGAUCCCAUACACUGAUCCAUCCAGGUCCACUCCUCUCCCUGAUCCCAUACUCCCAUACACUGACCCAUCCAGGUUCACUCCUCUCCCUGAUCCCAUACACUGAUCCAUCCAGGUUCACUCCUCUCCCUGAUCCCAUACACUGAUCCAUCCAGGUCCACUCCUCUCCCUGAUCCCAUACAC